CUAGCAAUAGAUGAGUGGCGAACGGGUGAGUAAGACAUUAGCAACCUAGCCUUUUGAGGGGGAUAACUGCUGGAAACGGCAGCUAAGACCGCAUAGGCAUAUUGAUCGCAUGAGAGAUAUGUUAAAUAUCCUACGGGAUAGCGAGGGGAUGGGCUUAUGACGCAUUAGCUAGUUGGAGGGGUAACGGCCCACCAAGGCGACGAUGCGUAGCCGGCCUGAGAGGGUGGACGGCCACACUGGGACUGAGACACGGCCCAGACUCCUACGGGAGGCAGCAGUAGGGAAUUUUCGGCAAUGGACGAAAGUCUGACCGAGCAACGCCGCGUGAGGGAGGAAGUACUUCGGUAUGUAAACCUCUGUUAUAAAGGAAGAACGGUAUAAUCAGGGAAUGGGUUAUAAGUGACGGUACUUUAUGAGGAAGCCACGGCUAACUACGUGCCAGCAGCCGCGGUAAUACGUAGGUGGCGAGCGUUAUCCGGAAUCAUUGGGCGUAAAGAGGGAGCAGGCGGCAGCAAGGGUCUGCGGUGAAAGACCGAAGCUAAACUUCGGUAAGCCGUGGAAACCGGGCAGCUAGAGAGCAUCAGAGGAUCGCGGUAUUCCAUGUGUAGCGGUGAAAUGCGUAGAUAUAUGGAGGAACACCAGUGGCGAAGGCGGCGAUCUGGGGUGCAACUGACGCUCAGUCCCGAAAGCGUGGGGAGCAAAUAGGAUUAGAUACCCUAGUAGUCCACGCCGUAAACGAUGAGUACUAAGUGUUGGGGGUCAGACCUCAGUGCUGCAGUUAACGCAAUAAGUAC
This 794-nucleotide ribosomal RNA is filed under the name uncultured bacterium. Its description in RNAcentral is "bacterial SSU rRNA". It matches the Rfam family "Bacterial small subunit ribosomal RNA", at positions 76 to 867 of the family's 1533-position model. The record is from RNAcentral.